RNAcentral lists this ribosomal RNA (116 nucleotides) under Escherichia coli. The record is from RNAcentral. Lineage: Bacteria; Pseudomonadati; Pseudomonadota; Gammaproteobacteria; Enterobacterales; Enterobacteriaceae.
CACCGUGGUCUUAGAGCAGUGGUCGAGCCUGACCCCAUGCCGAACUCAGAAGUGAAACGCCGUAGCGCCGAUGGUAGUGUGGGGUCUCCCCAUGCGAGAGUAGGGAACUGCCAGGU